RNAcentral lists this unclassified non-coding RNA (507 nucleotides) under Zea mays. RNAcentral describes it as "misc RNA Zm00001eb429550". The record is from RNAcentral. Lineage: Eukaryota; Viridiplantae; Streptophyta; Magnoliopsida; Poales; Poaceae.
CACAUAUAUAUCCGCAUGCUCGCGGCUAGCUUAGAGGCAUUUGAAUCCGGUGGGCACGGUCUUGCCGCAGUGGUUGAGGAUGAGGCUGAGGUCGACGGGCAGGUUGAGCUUGAUUCCGAGGACCUCUCCCUUGAUGGCGGUGCAGAGGCACACGGCGGCCUCGAGGUCGACGAGUCCCUUCAGCAGCGGGCAGCAUGGCUCCGUGGGCGGCACGCCCACCUUGGCCUUGAUCAGCCCCAGAACAUUAGCGCACACGCCCAGCUUGAGCGCGUCGCGGGGGCACUUGCCGAACGAGGCCGGCGUUGGGGUCGGGGUGGACGGGGUCGGCGUGGGGCAGUUGCCACCGCACGCGCUGGCCAUGGCGAACAUCACUAGGCUAACGGCCAGGAACAGCGUCAUCGAUGCGUUGCCUGCCAUUAUUGCUGCACAGCAGUGUCCUCCUUGACCACAAGGCACAAAGCAGACUGAGCUUCGUGAGGAGCUCUGCUUGCGAUGCCUCGAUCGCUA